RNAcentral lists this unclassified non-coding RNA (661 nucleotides) under uncultured Prochlorococcus sp. RNAcentral's name for it is "partial may contain 16S ribosomal RNA, 16S-23S ribosomal RNA intergenic spacer, and 23S ribosomal RNA". The stretch from base 1 to 96 matches the Rfam family "Bacterial small subunit ribosomal RNA", at positions 1438 to 1533 of the family's 1533-position model. The record is from RNAcentral. Lineage: Bacteria; Bacillati; Cyanobacteriota; Cyanophyceae; Synechococcales; Prochlorococcaceae.
CCCUUGUGGAGGAGGACGCCGAAGGUGGGGCUAAUGACUGGGGUGAAGUCGUAACAAGGUAGCCGUACCGGAAGGUGCGGCUGGAUCACCUCCUAACAGGGAGACAACAAAAUGUUUAAUAUUAUUUUGUCACCUUAGGUCGAUCGGUAUCUCACAUCCUUAAUUCAUUAAGGAUUUCAUUUCCUAAGUUUUUCUAGGUCACACCCAUUUUUUUCCUGGGCCAUUAGCUCAGGUGGUUAGAGCGCACCCCUGAUAAGGGUGAGGUCCCUGGUUCAAGUCCAGGAUGGCCCAUAUCUCUAUGUUGGGGGUAUAGCUCAGUUGGUAGAGCGCCUGCUUUGCAAGCAGGAUGUCAGCGGUUCGAGUCCGCUUACCUCCACUGAUUACCACCUCUUCCAUAAUGUGUAAGAAGGAAAAAUUUUUGAGUUGUGACCAAAUUCUGAACGAAUCUAGCUUCCUAAUGAAAUCAUUAAGAUGCUGGACUCAUUGAAUUAAUUUCAUUGUUUUCAGAGAACCUUGACAACUGCAUAGAUUAUUUUUUUAAAGACAAUAAGCAUCUUUAAUGAUGCAGAUUUAUUAUUUGUGCGAAUGCAUUAAUAACAAUUCUAUUAAGCUGAUGCUUCAAUUUUUGAAGUUAUUGGUCAAGCUACAAAGGGCUCACGGA